AGCUCCAAUAGCGUAUAUUAAAGUUGUUGCGGUUAAAAAGCUCGUAGUUGGAUUUCUGUCGUCGAGUGGCGCUCCGCCCCUUGUGGUGAGCAGUCGUCAUGCCGUCGGCAUCUUCUUGGGGAGCGUAUCUGCACUUCAUUGUGUGGUGCGUCAGCCAGGACUUUUACUUUGAGGAAAUGAGAGUGUUUCAAGCAGGCGCACGCCGUGAAUACGUUAGCAUGGAAUAAUAGCAUCGGACCUCGCUCCAAAGCUGUUGGUUUCUUGGGUCGAGGUAAAGGUGAAUAGGGAUUGUUGGGGGCAUUCGUAUUUAACUGUCAGAGGUGAAAUUCUUGGAUUUGUUGAAGACGGACUACUGCGAAAGCAUCUGCCAAAGAUGUUCUCAUUGAUCAAGAACGAAAGU
This 400-nucleotide ribosomal RNA is filed under the name phytoplankton environmental sample. RNAcentral's name for it is "partial small subunit ribosomal RNA". It matches the Rfam family "Eukaryotic small subunit ribosomal RNA", at positions 587 to 990 of the family's 1831-position model. The record is from RNAcentral.